UCCUGGUUUCCCAGGCAGUCCUGCUAGAGUGCUUCUUGCGAAUCGCUACUAACAGCAGGGGUUGCGCUCGUUAAAGGACUUAACCCAACAUCUCACGACACGAGCUGACGACAGCCAUGCAGCACCUGUAUAACCGUUUCGGUUUCCCAAAAACCCGACGUUUCUGCCAGUAGCAGUUAUAUGUCAAGCCCAGGUAAGGUUCCUCGCGUAGUGUCGAAUUAAACCACAUGUUCCACCGCUUGUGCGGACCCCCGUCAAUUCCUUUGAGUUUUAGUCUUGCGACCGUACUUCCCAGGCGGAUCACUUAACGCGUUAGCUUCGAUACAGAUCAUGCUAUGCACGACCCACACCUAGUGAUCAUCGUUUACGGCGUGGACUAC
This 380-nucleotide unclassified non-coding RNA is filed under the name uncultured bacterium. RNAcentral's name for it is "contains 16S-23S intergenic spacer region". The record is from RNAcentral.